GGUUCCGUGGUGUAGCGGUUAGCACUCAGUACUUUGAAUCUUGCAACUGGAGUUCAAAUCUCUUCAGAACCU
RNAcentral lists this transfer RNA (72 nucleotides) under Enterobius vermicularis (human pinworm). It matches the Rfam family "tRNA". From Rfam's summary of the family: Transfer RNA (tRNA) molecules are approximately 80 nucleotides in length. The record is from Rfam by way of RNAcentral. Lineage: Eukaryota; Metazoa; Nematoda; Chromadorea; Rhabditida; Oxyuridae.